GAUGAAGAAGAUGAUUGUGAAGAGGAUGAAAAUGUGGAUGACGCAGAUGAUGAGGAAGAAGAAGAUGUAAGGAAUGAGAGUCCAACGGAUAGGUCUCCAGCGAUUCAGGAAAUUUCGCCCCCUGAGACUAAGAAACAAAAGACCGGAGAUAGUGCAAAGAUUCAGGAAGAAGAAGAAGAAGAAGAAGA
Zootermopsis nevadensis is the source of this 188-nucleotide non-coding RNA. Lineage: Eukaryota; Metazoa; Arthropoda; Insecta; Blattodea; Termopsidae. The record is from RefSeq and is a predicted model, not a curated record.